GACGAACGCUGGCGGCGUGCCUAAUACAUGCAAGUAGAACGCUGAAGAGAGGAGCUUACUCUUCUUGGAUGAGUUGCGCACGGGUGAGUAACGCGUAGGUAACCUGCCUUGUAGCGGGGGAUAACUAUUGGAAACGAUAGCUAAUACCGCAUAACAAUGGAUGACACAUGUCAUUUAUUUGAAAGGGGCAAUUGCUCCACUACAAGAUGGACCUGCGUUGUAUUAGCUAGUAGGUGAGGUAAUGGCUCACCUAGGCGACGAUACAUAGCCGACCUGAGAGGGUGAUCGGCCACACUGGGACUGAGACACGGCCCAGACUCCUACGGGAGGCAGCAGUAGGGAAUCUUCGGCAAUAGGGGCAACCCUGACCGAGCAACGCCGCGUGAGUGAAGAAGGUUUUCGGAUCGUAAAGCUCUGUUGUAAGUCAAGAACGGGUGUGAGAGUGGAAAGUUCACACUGUGACGGUAGCUUACCAGAAAGGGACGGCUAACUACGUG
This 497-nucleotide ribosomal RNA is filed under the name uncultured bacterium. RNAcentral's name for it is "partial 16S ribosomal RNA". It matches the Rfam family "Bacterial small subunit ribosomal RNA", at positions 28 to 507 of the family's 1533-position model. The record is from RNAcentral.